This 557-nucleotide ribosomal RNA is filed under the name uncultured fungus. Its description in RNAcentral is "SSU rRNA". It matches the Rfam family "Eukaryotic small subunit ribosomal RNA", at positions 194 to 755 of the family's 1831-position model. Lineage: Eukaryota; Fungi. The record is from RNAcentral.
GGAAGGGGUGUAUUUAUUAGAUAAAAAACCAACGCCCUUCGGGGCUCCUUGGUGAAUCAUAAUAACUUAACGAAUCGCAUGGCCUUGCGCCGGCGAUGGUUCAUUCAAAUUUCUGCCCUAUCAACUUUCGAUGGUAGGAUAGUGGCCUACCAUGGUGGCAACGGGUAACGGGGAAUUAGGGUUCGAUUCCGGAGAGGGAGCCUGAGAAACGGCUACCGCAUCCAAGGAAGGCAGCAGGCGCGCAGAUUACCCAAUCCCGACACGGGGAGGUAGUGACAAUAAAUACUGAUACAGGGCUCUUUCGGGUCUUGUAAUUGGAAUGAGUACAAUUUAAAUCCCUUAACGAGGAACAAUUGGAGGGCAAGUCUGGUGCCAGCAGCCGCGGUAAUUCCAGCUCCAAUAGCGUAUAUUAAAGUUGUUGAGGUUAAAAAGCUCGUAGUUGAACCUUGGGCCUAGCCGGCCGGUCCGCCUCACCGCGUGCACUGGCUCGGCUGGGUCUUUCCUUCUGGAGAACCGCAUGCCCUUCACUGGGUGUGCUGGGGAACCAGGACUUUUAC